AUUGAACGCUGGCGGCAUGCCUUACACAUGCAAGUCGAACGGCAGCACGGGAGCAAUCCUGGUGGCGAGUGGCGAACGGGUGAGUAAUAUAUCGGAACGUGCCCGGUCGUGGGGAUAACGUAGCGAAAGCUACGCUAAUACCGCAUACGAUCUACGGAUGAAAGCGGGGGAUCGCAAGACCUCGCGCGAUUGGAGCGGCCGAUAUCAGAUUAGGUAGUUGGUGAGGUAAAGGCUCACCAAGCCGACGAUCUGUAGCUGGUCUGAGAGGACGACCAGCCACACUGGGACUGAGACACGGCCCAGACUCCCUACGGGAGGCAGCAGUGGGAAUUUUGGACAAUGGGCGCAAGCCUGAUCCAGCAAUGCCGCGUGCAGGAU
Molecule: ribosomal RNA, 378 nt
Filed under: uncultured bacterium
Lineage: Bacteria
Description: bacterial SSU rRNA
Rfam family: Bacterial small subunit ribosomal RNA
Source: RNAcentral